RNAcentral lists this ribosomal RNA (376 nucleotides) under uncultured Streptococcus sp. RNAcentral describes it as "bacterial SSU rRNA". It matches the Rfam family "Bacterial small subunit ribosomal RNA", at positions 1004 to 1382 of the family's 1533-position model. Lineage: Bacteria; Bacillati; Bacillota; Bacilli; Lactobacillales; Streptococcaceae. The record is from RNAcentral.
AGAUAGAAAGUUAACUUCGGUACAUCGGUGACAGGUGGUGCAUGGUUGUCGUCAGCUCGUGUCGUGAGAUGUUGGGUUAAGUCCCGCAACGAGCGCAACCCCUAUUGUUAGUUGCCAUCAUUCAGUUGGGCACUCUAGCGAGACUGCCGGUAAUAAACCGGAGGAAGGUGGGAUGACGUCAAAUCAUCAUGCCCCUUAUGACCUGGGCUACACACGUGCUACAAUGGUUGGUACAACGAGUUGCGAGUCGGUGACGGCGAGCUAAUCUCUUAAAGCCAAUCUCAGUUCGGAUUGUAGGCUGCAACUCGCCUACAUGAAGUCGGAAUCGCUAGUAAUCGCGGAUCAGCACGCCGCGGUGAAUACGUUCCCGGGCCUU